UACGUAGGGGGCAAGCGUUGUCCGGAUUUAUUGGGCGUAAAGAGCGUGUAGGCGGUUUGGUAGGUCCGCUGUGAAAACUCGAGGCUCAACCUCGAGACGCCGGUGGAAACCAUCAGGCUAGAGUCCGGUAGGGGAGUGUGGAAUUCCCGGUGUAGCGGUGAAAUGCGCAGAGAUCGGGAGGAACACCCGUAGCGAAGGCGGCACUCUGGGCCGGUACUGACGCUGAGGAGCGAAAGCGUGGGGAGCAAACAGG
This 253-nucleotide ribosomal RNA is filed under the name uncultured bacterium. RNAcentral describes it as "partial 16S ribosomal RNA". It matches the Rfam family "Bacterial small subunit ribosomal RNA", at positions 524 to 776 of the family's 1533-position model. The record is from RNAcentral.